RNAcentral lists this ribosomal RNA (253 nucleotides) under uncultured bacterium. RNAcentral describes it as "partial 16S ribosomal RNA". It matches the Rfam family "Bacterial small subunit ribosomal RNA", at positions 524 to 776 of the family's 1533-position model. The record is from RNAcentral.
GACGUAGGAGGCGAGCGUUGUCCGGAUUCAUUGGGCGUAAAGAGCGCGCAGGCGGCUUGGUAAGUCGGAUGUGAAAUCCCGGGGCUCAACCUCGGAACUGCCUUUGAUACUGCGGGUCUUGAGUCCGAUAGAGGUGGGUGGAAUUCCUAGUGUAGAGGUGAAAUUCGUAGAUAUUAGGAAGAACACCAGUGGCGAAGGCGGCUCACUGGCCCGGUACUGACGCUGAGGCGCGAAAGCGUGGGGAGCAAACAGG